This 304-nucleotide ribosomal RNA is filed under the name uncultured bacterium. RNAcentral's name for it is "partial 16S ribosomal RNA". It matches the Rfam family "Bacterial small subunit ribosomal RNA", at positions 506 to 809 of the family's 1533-position model. The record is from RNAcentral.
CAGCAGCAGCCGCGGGAAUACAGAGGGUGCGAGCGUUAAUCGGAUUUACUGGGCGUAAAGCGUGCGUAGGCGGCUUCUUAAGUCGGAUGUGAAAUCCCUGAGCUUAACUUAGGAAUUGCAUUCGAUACUGGGAAGCUAGAGUAUGGGAGAGGAUGGUAGAAUUCCAGGUGUAGCGGUGAAAUGCGUAGAGAUCUGGAGGAAUACCGAUGGCGAAGGCAGCCAUCUGGCCUAAUACUGACGCUGAGGUACGAAAGCAUGGGGAGCAAACAGGAUUAGAUACCCCUGUAGUCCCUGUCUCUUAUAA